GAGGCGGGACGGACAGCGGUACCCCCCCGUCCCCACACAGCGAGAGAGGAAAUCCCGGGGCUCACCCCCAGCCUGGACCGAAAGGGAAAACUUGAGUCAACUAUCGGAAUUAAGGUUGACAGUGACCAGAAAAGAAGAUGUUCUGCACACUACCUUUUAAUGAACUAAUCAACCACACGGUCUGAAAGGAUCCAGCCAGAAAUAUGCUAAACUGGUUACUUAAUUGUUUGGGGGGGGCAGGGGAGGCAGUACUGACACAUACAGCCUCCCUUUCAAGAUGGCUUAGGUUUAAGUCGCUAACAAAUGUCAAUUCUCCACUCAACUGUGGCUGCUAAUCUGUGGAGGACAAAAUUCAACCACAUGAAAGAAACUGAGCAACAGAGAAUAAGAUGUAAGAUCAAGAGGAAAUGCCGACAAACAGAAGGCAAUAUAACAUUGGGUCUCCAUCUGUGAGAGGAGUCCAGAGUGAGAGGAAACAAAUGAGAAUAAAAGGAAAAUAUAAAA
This is a long non-coding RNA of Ornithorhynchus anatinus (platypus), 504 nucleotides long. RefSeq lists it as uncharacterized. The record is from RefSeq and is a predicted model, not a curated record. The transcript has 2 exons. NCBI's taxonomy places the organism in Eukaryota, Metazoa, Chordata, Mammalia, Monotremata, Ornithorhynchidae.